GGCUGCGGUAGCCAUGGUGACCGGUGGAGGCCCGCCCCCGCCCCCUGCCCCGGCCCCCUGACGUCGGCUCACGUCAGCGCCGGCGCGCGCCUGGCUGGGCCCUGUGGGGCGGGAGGGAAGCAGCGCCGGAGCGAGAGCCGCGGCCGUCGCCCAGAGCCCAGGCGCGCCGCCCGACGCCCUCCUGCCCGCUCCGUGCCGCUUCUUGCCGGCCAGUUCGUUCGCGUUCCCGUCGCCGUGUCCUGCAGCGGGGGCCAAGCAUGGUCAUGGCGGAUGGCCCGAGGCACUUGCAGCGCGGGCCAGUCCGGGUGGGGUUCUACGACAUCGAGGGCACGCUGGGCAAGGGCAACUUUGCCGUGGUGAAGCUGGGGCGGCACCGGAUCACCAAGACGGAGGUGGCUAUAAAAAUAAUAGACAAGUCACAGCUGGAUGCAGUAAACCUUGAGAAAAUCUACCGAGAAGUACAGAUAAUGAAAAUGCUCGACCAUCCUCACAUCAUUAAACUGUAUCAGGUAAUGGAGACCAAAAGUAUGUUGUACCUUGUGACAGAAUAUGCCAAAAAUGGAGAAAUUUUUGAUUAUCUUGCUAAUCAUGGCCGAUUAAAUGAAUCUGAAGCCAGGAGAAAAUUCUGGCAAAUUCUGUCUGCUGUUGAUUAUUGCCAUGGCCGGAAGGUAGUGCACAGAGACCUGAAGGCUGAAAAUCUCCUGCUGGAUAACAACAUGAAUAUCAAAAUAGCAGAUUUCGGCUUUGGAAAUUUCUUUAAAACUGGUGAACUGCUGGCAACAUGGUGUGGCAGCCCCCCUUAUGCAGCCCCAGAAGUCUUUGAAGGGCAGCAGUAUGAAGGACCACAGCUGGAUAUAUGGAGCAUGGGAGUUGUUCUUUAUGUCCUUGUCUGUGGAGCUCUACCUUUUGAUGGACCAACUCUCCCUAUUUUGAGGCAGAGGGUUUUAGAAGGAAGAUUCCGGAUUCCUUAUUUCAUGUCAGAAGAUUGUGAACACCUCAUUAGAAGGAUGUUGGUCCUAGAUCCUUCCAAACGGCUAAGCAUAGCUCAAAUCAAGGAGCACAAGUGGAUGCUCAUAGAGGUUCCUGUACAGAGGCCUAUUCUCUACCCACAAGAACAGGAAAACGAGCCGUCCAUUGGAGAAUUUAAUGAGCAGGUUCUUCGACUGAUGCACAGCCUUGGGAUUGAUCAGCAGAAGACUGUUGAGUCUUUGCAAAACAAGAGCUAUAAUCACUUUGCUGCCAUUUAUUUCUUGUUGGUGGAACGUCUAAAAUCACAUAGGAGCAGUUUUCCUGUGGAGCAGAGACUUGAUGGCCGCCAGCGUCGGCCUAGCACCAUUGCUGAACAAACAGUUGCCAAGGCACAAACUGUGGGGCUGCCAGUGACCUUGCAUCCACCGAACGUGAGACUGAUGCGAUCUACCCUCCUCCCACAGGCAUCCAAUGUGGAGGCCUUUUCAUUUCCAACAUCCAGCUGUCAAGCAGAAGCUGCCUUUAUGGAGGAAGAGUGUGUCGACACUCCAAAGGUGAAUGGCUGCCUGCUUGACCCUGUGCCCCCUGUCCUGGUGAGGAAGGGAUGCCAGUCACUGCCCAGCAGUAUGAUGGAGACCUCCAUUGAUGAAGGCUUGGAGACAGAAGGAGAGGCUGAGGAAGACCCCAGUCAGGCCUUUGAAGCUUUCCAGGCCACACGCAGUGGGCAGCGACGGCACACUCUGUCAGAAGUGACUAACCAAUUGGUUGUGAUGCCCGGGGCAGGGAAAAUGUUCUCCAUGAGUGAUAACCCCUCCCUUGAGAGUGUGGACUCUGAGUAUGAUAUGGGGUCUGCCCAGAGGGACCUGAACUUUCUGGAAGACAGCCCUUCCUUGAAGGACAUCAUGUUAGCCAAUCAGCCGUCACCCCGCAUGACAUCUCCUUUCAUAAGCCUCAGACCUGCCAACCCAGCCAUGCAGGCUCUGAGCUCACAGAAGCGUGAGGCCCACAACCGGUCCCCCGUGAGCUUCCGAGAAGGCCGCAGAGCAUCAGAUACGUCCCUUACACAAGGAAUUGUAGCAUUUAGACAACAUCUUCAGAAUCUUGCUAGAACCAAAGGAAUUCUGGAGUUGAACAAAGUACAAUUGCUGUAUGAACAAAUGGGAUCAAACGCAGACCCUACCUUAACAUCAACUGCUCCUCAGCUCCAAGACCUUUCGAGCAGUUGCCCUCAGGAGGAAAUCUCCCAGCAGCAGGAAAGUGUCUCCAGCCUGUCUGCCAGCAUGCACCCUCAGCUCUCACCACAGCAAAGCUUGGAAACCCAGUACCUACAGCAUCGACUCCAGAAGCCCAAUCUUCUGCCAAAGGCCCAGAGUCCUUGUCCAGUGUAUUGUAAAGAGCCACCUCGGAGCCUGGAACAGCAGCUACAGGAGCAUAGGCUCCAACAGAAGCGACUCUUCCUCCAGAAGCAGUCUCAGCUGCAAGCAUAUUUUAAUCAGAUGCAGAUAGCAGAGAGCUCCUACCCUGGACCAAGUCAGCAGCUGGCUCUUCCCCACCAGGAGACUCCACUGACAUCCCAGCAGCCCCCAUCAUUCAGCCUGACCCAGGCCCUGAGUCCUGUCCUCGAGCCCUCUUCUGAGCAGAUGCAAUUUAGCUCUUUCCUCAGCCAAUACCCAGAGAUGCAGUUGCAGCCACUGCCCUCUACUCCCGGCCCCCAGGCUCCACCUCCCUUACCCUCACAAUUGCAGCAACAUCAGCAGCCACCACCCCCACCACCACCCCCUCCACCACAGCAGCCAGGAGCUGCUCCAACCUCCUUACAGUUCUCCUAUCAGACUUGUGAGCUGCCAAGCACCACUUCUUCUGUACCAAACUAUCCUGCUUCCUGUCACUAUCCUGUGGAUGGAGCCCAGCAGAGCAACCUCACAGGGGCGGACUGUCCCAGGAGCUCAGGACUUCAGGACACCGCAUCUAGCUAUGACCCACUGGCCCUCUCUGAGCUCCCUGGACUCUUUGAUUGUGAAAUGGUAGAAGCUGUGGAUCCACAACACAAUGGAGUGGCUUGUCCAAUCAGCAGAUGAAUGCACUAAGCACAAAGCGUCUUCCUUAAAGCACAAGAAGAGAGCUACUCCACAGAUGCUGCCUCUAGAAACACCUAUAAGUUGCCUUUCCUCUCUGUAGGUUGUGAGCUGCUUAGCCCGGGAGACCUAGCAGCUAUGGCAGGACAGUUAGGCAACAGAUGAGGGGCUGCGGAGAGGCUGUCAGAAGUUUAAAGGCUGCAGAGAGAAGCUGGGAACGCUCAUCAGCGGCCAAGCCUGUUAGGCACUGACACAGAGAGGAGGUGAGGACAGUCGCCUUGUGAAGACCGAGAACCAUCCUGCCGGAACCUGUCGUAAGCUCCCAUUUCCUCCUUCCUUCCUUUCAAGUAGACAUCCCUAGUUCCACGGCUACCUUUAUGUCCUGAGGUGGAAGCUGGUGAGAGCAAUGGGCCCUCCACUCAUCUGAUUGCUUCUGUGUCUGCCCCCACCUAGUGACUCAUGGAAGCUUCCAAGCCUUUUCUCCUCACAAGUACUAAAGUAACACUAAGAAGGCUUAGGCUCUCUCGUGGAGAGGCAGCUUUGUAAUACUGACGUGUCUGCCUGUCGGUUCACAUCAGCAGUGUGUACACUACUGUAUAGUAACCCUUAGCUUUGUUACUGUAAACUAGCCUCUCCAAAGAGACUGGUGAUCCAAACAUGAGGUAAAAUUUCCAUUCGGCAAAAAGUGCAAUAUGUGUGGUACUCUUUUAUUUUUUUGUUUAUGGUCUUGUUAUCCAGGGGUAUUACUCUCUGCUUUGGGGGAAAUGCAUUGCUUCUGCAAUUUCCAGUUGGGCAAGUGUGUCUCUAGUAUUUAUAUGCAACUGACAUGCUGGUCCCUGUAAGGCAAAUAGAGGAUGUUAAUGCAACAGAAGACAACCGAUACGGGUCCCACUCCUCUAUUCCAGGGAGCUGCGUGACCAGCACCAGCCCUCAACUUGCCCCAGCAUGGCUGCCUGAACUGCCACCUUGGGAACAAAGGUCGGGGGUGGGGGCAGUUCUUUAUGUCCAUAGCCCUCUAAAUCUACCCAGUGGGAUAGUGAGGACCCAGGAGAAGCCUUUGGGAGUGACGUGAGGUAUGAGAGCUGGUCUGAACAAAGCCCUUCCUGGUGCUUUGCAUCCUAGGAAAGCGGAAGCCAAGGCCUCUCUAUCUUAGAGAUGUGUUCCUGGUGUCAGGGAGGGAGGACUUCAGCCUCUCCCUCUCAUGUGCCCUCCCUAACUUUUAUAACUGAGUUCCUGCCCCCCCCCCCCCCCCCCGUACAGUGCACCCUGUGGAGUAGCACCCUCUGCCCUCCCGAGAGCUCUGUUAAAUAGAGUACUCAGCAAGCAUUCAUCACAGACCUCUCUACCUAUACCCCAGGAGCCAUUAUACCUAAGGGACUGGGGAAAGGCUGUUCUCAGCUGGGGAUGAACCAGAAACUGAAGGAGCUAAAAGUAGCAGCUUCUAGGCCAGAUGAUCAAGGGCCCCAGGUGUGCCAGCAGCUCAGGACAUGGGAUCCAGUGGGCUCUCCUUCCUCUGCAGGUUCUCCAGUCUCUAAUCAAGCCUGCUUCUUAAAUAUAUCAGGAUCGGACUUUCUCUGGUCUGGAUUACACUCAUACCAACAGUGAGUUAAGUUCCCUGUUAGUUUACAGAAAAUUCAUAGUCCAGGCAACUUUUUUACACCCCUUCUCCUUAGAGACAGACAGUAUGAAGUGUCACUUAGAGACAGACAAUAUGGAGUGUCACUUGAUGCCAGCGAUCACAGUGGGUCUUACAGAGUCCCUGUGCUGGGCUGACCUUUGCUGUGUUUGUGCCCCUAAGCUGGGCUGCCUCUACUGCCUCCUCGGAAGCCACUGGAGCCGCUCCGUCUCUCUGUGCCUAGACAUCAAAGGUAGAAACUGGAGAACAGGUAGUAAGUUGGAGUCGCUGCCCAGGCAGGAUCUUCAUCACUUUGUUGCUUCUGGAAACUUUUUAUAGAACUUACCUUCAGAAUGAUUUGUGGGAGACAAGAGCAGAGUCAACCUGUUUCAACACUGGACAAAAACACACUUCAGAACACACACAUGUCUUCCCUGGCUUGGGGGCUCAGAGAAGUGAGAGAUUUCAUGGCUUUUUGCACCACUUCAGUGGCAUGUGAAAUGAGAUAUUGAGCCUUAAAAGGUCCUUUGGGCCCUAAAAUCUCCUCUCCGAACACCUUCUCACUGAUUUGUUGAGCCAUUUUCACCCAGUUACAACAACCUAGCUGAUUCUAGAAGACUCCCAGCAUUCCUAGUUGCACCACACAUCAUAUGUCCAUAUACUAUGUGAGCAGAUUUGGGCAUGUGGCUGGCUGCAUUGAUUGACAGACAGCUUAACCACGGAUGGGUCUUACAAGUCAUGUUUACUCAGCCUGCCGUCCGUGUUCUCAGCAAUGUACCAGGCACUUCUGAGUGCUUGCUUAGAUCCCCCACAUUGGCUCUGCAGGAUUAGCUAGAGAGAUUCUGCCCAUUUUUCUGAGGGAAGCAAAGCUCUUAAGGAUGCACGACUUAGCUGAGGUCACAGAGCUCAGAAGUGGGGAUGGCAGGGAUACACACCUUCCUUGCCUGGCUUUUGGCUUUUGGCUUGUGUUGGAGCCCUGCCCCCACAGCUGCAGCCUCCAUUUGACAGCUGCCUGGCUCUAAGUGCCCUUAAAUGAUACCUGUAGCUCUCUGGGGGACUGCACUGCACAGGGAAACAUAGACACCACAGAUUGGCCGUCUUAAUGUCCAGUAAGUUGCAAAAGCUUGGGCUUACAUCAAAGACGUUUGCUUAUUCAAAGUUAUGCAAUCUAGUACUUUUCUCUAUAAGUAUAUAUUUGAAGGACAUACCUCCUCCUUGAUUGCCAAAGGGCCAAAAGGGCCCACUACUUAGUCAACACAGUCAACCCAAGAGACUGACUAGAAAUUAUGAACUCAACCUUUACCCUAAAGGAAAGGCACUAGAACAUCUUUUUUUCUUAAAAUUUUUUUUAAUUUUUUUAAACACAGUCUCACUGUGUAGCCCUGGCUGUCCUGGAACUCACUCUGUAGAGCAGGCUGGCCUCAAACUCAGAGAUGCACCUGCCUCUGCCUCCAAGUGCUGGGGUUAAAGGAGUGUGUCACUAUGCCCAUUGAAUUUCUUUACCAUUAAGUCCUGUCAAGUAGGAAGGCUUAUUAGACACUUUGAGGAUUACAAAAUGGUAAUAUGCUUUGAUGGUAGAGUGCUACCAUUUUUCAUAACCAAAAUGGGUGAGUAAGGGUAGCUUUAAAAAUAGAAAUACAAACAACACCCUGGUGGAUGGAGUAGUGUUACAUUACCAAGUGCAGAUAACCGAUGCCUACCCGACAGGAUUGCUAAGUCACGGAAAUUCAAGUGGCAAAGCAUCCUCAGUUCUCGUGGGUAAAAAGAAGAAGAAGAAAGCAGCAGGAGGGGGCAGCCUAGUGGGGGCCAGUCUGCCUCUGGGGGACUGCAGUUGAAGAAGAGUGGUAGAAACUAUUUGCACUUUCUAGAAAGGCAAGGCCAUUUGCUUAUUGCAGAAAGAACAGCUUGCUGAAUUCAGCUUGCUCUGUGAGUUACUUUCCAUAAACUUAAUCUGACUGUAGUCAUUUUUUUCUUUCAUGCUUUUUAAUUACUAAGAGAAAUUUGGCGACUUCAAUAGCUUUGGUAUUUUGUGUGCAAAUCAUAAUAGAUCCAGUGUGAAAAAAUCAAAAUGUCACCUGUCACUCAGUGUUAGAAAAUUGCCUAAAAUGCAGUUUAAUAAAUGAUCUUUGUACCAAAUUGUAAUGUAAAUGGGGUCAUUUUCUGCCAGGAAAAUGUACUGUUUUUAUGUUUCCAACUCUCCUGAAUUAAAAUAAAAACACCUUGUUUUCUAAAA
This is an RNA transcript of Mus musculus (house mouse), 6892 nucleotides long. It is a transcript of the gene named salt inducible kinase 2, with no coding region annotated. Lineage: Eukaryota; Metazoa; Chordata; Mammalia; Rodentia; Muridae. The transcript is spliced from 17 exons. The record is from RefSeq and is marked validated.